Oryzias melastigma (Indian medaka) is the source of this 1132-nucleotide long non-coding RNA. RefSeq lists it as uncharacterized. The transcript has 2 exons. The record is from RefSeq and is a predicted model, not a curated record. Lineage: Eukaryota; Metazoa; Chordata; Actinopteri; Beloniformes; Adrianichthyidae.
AUCAUUUUGCAAGCCUGAUUUGAAUAUUGAAUUGCAAACUGAAUAAUGCAUAAUACUUUGAAUUAUGACCUUAAAAAACUUCCAUAGAUUAUGGCUAACCGCUUCAAUUCUCCAGCAAAGCAGCACCGCGGUGGAUUAUUGACAUCAUGAAUCUUUACAGUUUGGAUUAAUGGGGACAUCAUUUCCAUUUGGCACCAGAAGGACCGUUCAACAAAACCACCACAGCGACAUGAGCUCGGCGAGGACCCACAUCACCUGGUUCAGAGGAGGCGGGCAGUGGUGGACAUCUUUUAUUUUAAUUCUACAAUGUUUUCAAUGGUUUUAACUGCUACAAAAAUAAAUUUUGUACGAUCUGACUUUGACCCACAUUUCCUUUUGUCUUACCUAUAUGCUAAAACAGUGAAUAAACAGAAGAGACUGGUCACUCAAAUAUGUUAAACAUGAUUUUUAUUGAAUCACACACAUCAGCAAGAGUCAUCUUCAUAUCUUCAUAUGCCUUUAAAUGUAAAUGCUGUUUUGGAUUAUAAAUCCACUCACCACCAGAAGCAGACCUGAAGAAGAACAUACAAGAUAAACAUUAGAUACAAUUAAAAAAAAUAACAUUUAAUAUGCAUACAUUUGUUAAAAAUUAAAUAUUCAAAUUAUAUGUUCGUAUUAACUGAAAGUUUUCUGUCUUCACAUUUGAACUUCACAUUAAGAGAUUCUGGUGUCACUGUAGCAGAUCUGAAUCAUGUCCUUAUGUUAUAACUUUUUGAUUAUAGAAAAUAACCAUCAAUAAAAAUACAGAGAAAACGUCCUUUUUUAAACAUAAUAGACAUAAAUUUUGCUGAGAAUAAAAAAAUUGAAUUACUGGAACUAAACCAAUCAUAAUAUACAUUAAUGAUUUAUUUCCGGCAAAUAUAAAGUUAUUACUUUAGUACUUACCGGAGAAAAGACACCAGAUGACUCCCAGAGAGUGUUAGAACAGUUUACAUCACGGCAGCAGGACAAAAACCGAAAUAUAGCGCUCAUGCUAACGCUAAAUCUGUAGCAGACCAGCUAAACACCGGAGCACAGCUCCCAGAAUCCACCGCGAUCGUCACCUGUCAAUCAAAGGCCGCGCCCCCUCAUUAAACGAAAAUAAAUCCUGUUU